This 465-nucleotide ribosomal RNA is filed under the name Vreelandella stevensii. Its description in RNAcentral is "partial 16S ribosomal RNA". It matches the Rfam family "Bacterial small subunit ribosomal RNA", at positions 338 to 795 of the family's 1533-position model. The record is from RNAcentral. Lineage: Bacteria; Pseudomonadati; Pseudomonadota; Gammaproteobacteria; Oceanospirillales; Halomonadaceae.
CCUACGGGUGGCUGCAGUGGGGAAUAUUGGACAAUGGGCGAAAGCCUGAUCCAGCCAUGCCGCGUGUGUGAAGAAGGCCUUCGGGUUGUAAAGCACUUUCAGUGGGGAAGAAAGCCUUGGGGCUAAUACCCUCGAGGAAGGACAUCACCCACAGAAGAAGCACCGGCUAACUCCGUGCCAGCAGCCGCGGUAAUACGGAGGGUGCGAGCGUUAAUCGGAAUUACUGGGCGUAAAGCGCGCGUAGGCGGUCUGAUAAGCCGGUUGUGAAAGCCCCGGGCUCAACCUGGGAACGGCAUCCGGAACUGUCAGGCUAGAGUGCAGGAGAGGAAGGUAGAAUUCCCGGUGUAGCGGUGAAAUGCGUAGAGAUCGGGAGGAAUACCAGUGGCGAAGGCGGUCUUCUGGACUGACACUGACGCUGAGGUGCGAAAGCGUGGGUAGCAAACAGGAUUAGAUACCCUUGUAGUC